Long non-coding RNA from Ornithorhynchus anatinus (platypus), 617 nucleotides. RefSeq lists it as uncharacterized. The record is from RefSeq and is a predicted model, not a curated record. The transcript has 3 exons. Lineage: Eukaryota; Metazoa; Chordata; Mammalia; Monotremata; Ornithorhynchidae.
UCUGAAAUCGCAUCUCCUCCAGGAAGCCUUUCUCAAGUGAUGUCUCAUCUCCCCAGCGUAUAUCCCAAACAGCGUCUUCAGUCUCUCUCGGAGCCAAUUUCAGCAGUUGUGACCACAACCCUCCGUAGCGCUUAGAGUUGGAGAACACAUCCCAUAAUCAAUCAUAUUUAAUGAGCACCUACUGUGUGCAGAGCACUGUACUAAGCACCUGGGAGAGUCCGAUUCAACAGAGUUGGUAGACACGUCCCCUGCCCACCGGGGCCCGACGGAAGCCAGAAGUCCCGCAAGGAGGUCUGAGUGUGAGGGUCUGAGGAAAACAUCGGCAGGGCGAAUCCUGGCUGGAUGUAAGAGACAAUGUGAGGAGGAGAGCAAAGUGACGUUUAAACUGAGCAGUGUGCUCGACUCCAAACUGUCGGUUCACGGAGGGAAAAGCCGACGGACUUGAACGCAUCUGUGGUCUCUCCGGUCUUCAAGAGGAUGAAUUUCCCCUGGCCAUGCCGACCGGGGUGAUCGGAGUCAAACGCAACGGAGGGGCAGGUUUUCUGUUUGUGUAGUUUUAACCAUCUUAAUGAGUAUCAGACACCCUGAAUGUAUGCCUUUGGUCAUAAUAAAAUGAU